RNAcentral lists this ribosomal RNA (468 nucleotides) under uncultured bacterium. RNAcentral describes it as "partial 16S ribosomal RNA". It matches the Rfam family "Bacterial small subunit ribosomal RNA", at positions 28 to 507 of the family's 1533-position model. The record is from RNAcentral.
GACGAACGCUGGCGGCGUGCUUAACACAUGCAAGUCGAACGGAAAGGCCCUGCUUUUGUGGGGUGCUCGAGUGGCGAACGGGUGAGUAACACGUGAGUAACCUGCCCUCGACUUUGGACUAACUUCAGUAAACUGGGGCCAAUACCGGAUAGGAGCUCCUGCGCCAUGGUGGGGGUUGGAAAGUUUCGGCGGUGGGGGAUGGGCUGGCGGCUUAUCAGCCUGUGGGUGGGGUAGUGGCUUACCAAGGCUUUGACGGGUAGCCGGCCGGAGAGGGUGACCGGCCACCUUAGGACUAAGAUGAGGCCCAGCCUCCUACGGGAGGCAGCAGUGGGGAAUAUUGCACAAUGGGCGGAAGACUGAUGCAGCAACGCCGCGUGCGGGAUGACGGCCUUCGGGGUGUAAACCGCUUUCGCCUGUGACGAAGCGUGAGUGACGGUAAUGGGUAAAGAAGCACCGGCUAACUACGUG